CCACGCACCGACGUAUGCAUUGCCACUUUUGCCUACACAUGCCGUUGCAUGCGCUAUCGAAACCACCCAUGCGGUGUCCAGCCUUUGACCGGAACUCACCAUAGAAAUCACCAGUGAUUCAGAUCCCCAACAUAUCUGUUUUAAAAACCCUGCACAUGCUACUCUUUCUCUCUCUAGACAGGCAUGAUAUAAUGAUACCCAGAUCUGGCUAUCAUGCACUGAUCUUCUUCUUUCGCCAUGCAUAGAGCUAGUCGCGCAUCGAUCUACCCUUCCUUUAUUUU
This 281-nucleotide long non-coding RNA is filed under the name Carica papaya (papaya). RNAcentral's name for it is "long non-coding RNA (CPAP_LNC001677)". The record is from RNAcentral. Lineage: Eukaryota; Viridiplantae; Streptophyta; Magnoliopsida; Brassicales; Caricaceae.